AGGUCUCCUGAAGGAACGUUGAAGACGACGACGUUGAUAGGCCAGGUGUGUAAGCGCAGCGAUGCGUUGAGCUAACCGGUACUAAUGAACCGUGAGGCUUAACCUUACAACGCCGAAG
Molecule: ribosomal RNA, 118 nt
Filed under: Salmonella enterica
Lineage: Bacteria; Pseudomonadati; Pseudomonadota; Gammaproteobacteria; Enterobacterales; Enterobacteriaceae
Also listed under: 1 other name
Description: partial 23S ribosomal RNA
Rfam family: Bacterial large subunit ribosomal RNA (bases 1-106)
Source: RNAcentral